Molecule: ribosomal RNA, 254 nt
Filed under: uncultured bacterium
Lineage: Bacteria
Description: partial 16S ribosomal RNA
Rfam family: Bacterial small subunit ribosomal RNA
Source: RNAcentral
UACGGAGGGUGCGAGCGUUGUCCGGAAUCAUUGGGCGUAAAGAGCUCGUAGGCGGCUCAGUAAGUCGGGUGUGAAACCCCCGGGCUCAACCUGGGGACGCCACCCGAUACUGCUGUGGCUAGAGUCCAGUAGGGGAGUGUGGAAUUCCAGGUGUAGCGGUGAAAUGCGCAGAUAUCGGGAGGAACACCAACGGCGAAGGCAGCACUCUGGGCUGGUACUGACGCUGAGGAGCGAAAGCGUGGGUAGCAAACAGG